Non-coding RNA from Otolemur garnettii (small-eared galago), 73 nucleotides. The record is from Rfam. NCBI's taxonomy places the organism in Eukaryota, Metazoa, Chordata, Mammalia, Primates, Galagidae.
GGCACUGUAGCUCAGCGGCUAGAGCACUAGCCACAUACACCAGAGAUGGCAGGUUCAAAUCCAGCCCAGGCCU